RNAcentral lists this transfer RNA (57 nucleotides) under Agrilus planipennis (emerald ash borer). It matches the Rfam family "tRNA", at positions 9 to 63 of the family's 71-position model. From Rfam's summary of the family: Transfer RNA (tRNA) molecules are approximately 80 nucleotides in length. The record is from Rfam by way of RNAcentral. Lineage: Eukaryota; Metazoa; Arthropoda; Insecta; Coleoptera; Buprestidae.
AGCUUAGUGGUGAGAGCAUUGGUGCGCAAAGCCAAAGGUUCCGGGUUCGAUUCCCAG